This 74-nucleotide transfer RNA is filed under the name Gammaproteobacteria bacterium. RNAcentral's name for it is "tRNA-Gly". It matches the Rfam family "tRNA". From Rfam's summary of the family: Transfer RNA (tRNA) molecules are approximately 80 nucleotides in length. Their secondary structure includes four short double-helical elements and three loops (D, anti-codon, and T loops). Lineage: Bacteria; Pseudomonadati; Pseudomonadota; Gammaproteobacteria. RNAcentral also lists the same sequence under 2 other names. The record is from RNAcentral.
GCGGGUGUAGUUCAAUGGUAGAACCUCAGCCUUCCAAGCUGAGUACGUGGGUUCGAUUCCCAUCACCCGCUCCA